CGCCCCCUGCCGCUCCCGGGCUCCCAUUGGACACGUUUCUGGCGGCUACCGCUUCCGGCGGCUGGCGCGGGCGUCAUUUCCGCUGGAUUCCGGCUUGGCUGGCAGCGCCGGGCAGGAGGCGCUGUUCUCGGUUGUAGGUGCUGUGUGCUGAACCUGAUCCUAGACGGGGAUCUGCUCUCUCUCUCUCUCUCUCUCUCUACGCCACUUCUGGCGCCUUCGUCGCCCGCUGUCAAGCAGUGGGGAUCAUGCAGCGCAUGCUCGAGCGCAAGCUUAGCCUUCGAACUUUGUACCUAGAGCGCACGAGCCUCCCCUUCUGCAGCAGCGGGUCGGAAGUCACCCAACGAGUGCGCUCCAGGAUGGCACCAGAGCUAGAGGCAGAGAGGAGGGACUCACUGCCGUUACUUAGAACACACUAAGAGGCUUUUUGUUUUAUUUUGUUUUGUUUUGUUUUAAUUCUUAAAAUAUUCUCGUUUGCGGAGCAGCUUAUUCUCGUUAUACUGCCAGCGGACUGGAGAGACACUGUGCACUCCUAGGCGGAUUUUCUUUUAUUAAAAACGAAAAGUUCCAGCUUGGGCAUGUAGCUCGGUUGGUAGAAGUGUGGUGGAAAAAUCUGCAGUCAACAGCACUUGAGAGAUGGAAGCAGAGUCAUAAAUUCAAAGUCAACCUCAGAUACACAUUAAGUUGGAGUACCUGAAAUCAAUAAUAAUAAUGUAGCCUUGGAAAUGGAACUAUAAGUGCGUAAGGAAGCUGGUGCACACAGCCUGUAGAUACUACCCAGUGUUGAUGAACAUGCCUUGAGUGAAUGAGUCUGCAGAAACUGAUGCUAAACUAAAGUCUGUAAAGCUUACAUAUUGCACAACUACACUUACAGGAACGUUUUAAAAAGGCAAAGUGAUACAAAUGACAAGCACAGCAAAGGGCUCCCAGGGGAUAAGAAGUGGAUCCAUGGUAGAAAGUCUGUAUUUGGGCUCUAUGGAUAUCAUCAUGCCCGAGUUUGUGGUACUGUCCUGUGGCUUUGUCAGACACUACUAUUGAGGGAAAGUAAUGUAAGAUAUAAUGGUGAUAAUAAUAAAUAAUACAUUAUCUUACUUCUUUUAAAAAGGUCUGUGUGUGUGUGUGUGUGUGUGUGUGUGUGUGUGUGUGUGCACUCGCCCACACGAGCAUGCAUACAGAUGCCCAUAGAGGCCAGAAAAAAGGCAUUGGAUCAACACAGGCUGGAAUUGGUUAUAAGUCACCAGAUGUAGGUAGUAGGGACCCAGCUCAUGUCCCCUGACCCAUCUCUCCAGCCCCUCUGUAUUAUUUCUUGAAACUUCAUGUGACACCUUGAUAAUUGCUCAUUUAAGCUUAAGAAAUGGGCUGGACAUGAUGGUGCAUGCCUUUAACUCCAGCAGUCAGGAGGCAGAACCAGGCAGACCUCUGAGAUUUUUAGGUCUGCGGAUUCCUAGAAUUCCGGGUCAUCCAGAGUUACAUUGUGAAACACUGUCUCAAAACAAACAAACAAAACAAAAAACAAAACAAAACAAACAAAAACCCCCAAAGCUUAAGGAAUUACAGCUGCAGACUUGACAGGGCACUUCUCAUGGGUGCUCUCAGAAACCUCUGUGAAAAACAAAUACUAUAUUACUGGUUAAGUCAGGUCUUAGGAUAUGAAUGGUCUAUAAAAUCAAUGUAGGUGAAUAAACCUUUAAACAACAAACUUCACUAAGCAAAUCUAAGCAACUUACAAUAAUAAGUCAUUCGCUGGCCAACUUAAAAGGUCUGCAAAUGAAAUACCCCGUUAUGUGCAAGGAUCCAGUGAACUGGCUCUCUCUUGAGCCUUAGACACUGACACUUGUAAUGGAAAACCAUUUGAAAACUAUUUAUCAGUAAUCCCCAAAUGAAUGAUUAACUUGAGGGAUGGUAGCUUUGCUGGUACAUUCAUAUUAUGCAGUCAUCAGAAAUAUUUUUGAAAGCUAAUAGUAGAGGGAAUGCCUUUUGACUAAUGUGUGAACAAUGCUAGUUUGCCGUUUUGUUUUUUGAGAUAGGGUCUUGCCACGCAGUCGAGUCUGAGCUCAGCCUAGAGACUGUUUCUGUCCUACGGCUGAGUGAGUAGCAUGGCUAUAGGCGUGUGCCAUUGUGCUGAGGGGUUAAAGCUUUCUGAAGAAAUAUUGAAAAGAUUUGAAACUUUUCAUGCAGUCAGUUAACUACUGUUGGUUAAUAACCGAUGGAAAGAAAACCUGUAGCCUUGAGGAGCAUUGAUGCAACAGGUGAACGUGAAGGAAACCUAGCUCGAGUAACAUGGGCUUGGGUUCCUACUAAGGUGAAAUAUGUUUCCUUUAGGUUUGGGCAGAGGAUGAAGUUAGUAACCACCGUAGCCAAGAAUAUCCCAAGAUAGAUGUAUGGAAUUUAUCAUAGCUAGGGAAUGUAUUCAUAUGAAAUGACAAGAUAUGAAAACCGACCAAGUAGAAUAUGCAGCUUAUCAACACACAUAGAUCAGCUCUAAUAAAGCAGUUUUAAUGUCAGCUUUCUAGAGUCCUACCCUUGCCUUUCAGGUAUAUAAGGCCUCCCUUCCUCACCCUCUUCAAAAUUCUCUUAAUUAGUAUUUUAUUAUGAAGUCAUUUUUUUAUAGAUGCUCUGGAGUCAGGAUAUGUUUUAUACUUUUCAGUGCUUUCUGAUCAUCUAACUCCAAAUUUGAUUUUCUUUGCUCAGAAUUUCUUACUGGUUAGUAAUCUCUCUGUGUUCUAAUACAAUAUUAGUUCCUUGGGAGAUUUUUGUGUUACUUAUUACCAAACAAGGACACAAACUUCUUUUAAUUCACUUCAUGGUUUAGAUUACCAAAUGCAGGGUAUGGCAUAUGACCAACAUAAAAGAAAAUUACAAUAAACCUUGUCAACAAAAUAAAACUAUUUACAAACUUG
Mus musculus (house mouse) is the source of this 2897-nucleotide long non-coding RNA. RefSeq annotates it as predicted gene 43653. The record is from RefSeq and is a predicted model, not a curated record. The transcript has 2 exons. NCBI's taxonomy places the organism in Eukaryota, Metazoa, Chordata, Mammalia, Rodentia, Muridae.